CGCCGAACAGCUAGCUCACCCAAAGAUAAAUCAACAUACCACAAUUAAUACCCCCAAAUACACAAGCGAUAAACCUAAAUAAAUCAUUUUUCCCCCUAAGUAUGGGCGACAAAAAA
This 116-nucleotide ribosomal RNA is filed under the name Pseudaphritis urvillii (congolli). Its description in RNAcentral is "partial 16S ribosomal RNA". Lineage: Eukaryota; Metazoa; Chordata; Actinopteri; Perciformes; Pseudaphritidae. The record is from RNAcentral.